This is a long non-coding RNA of Hypanus sabinus (Atlantic stingray), 631 nucleotides long. RefSeq lists it as uncharacterized. Lineage: Eukaryota; Metazoa; Chordata; Chondrichthyes; Myliobatiformes; Dasyatidae. The transcript has 3 exons. The record is from RefSeq and is a predicted model, not a curated record.
GGCAGAGUCAGCUAUCGGGAACCAAGUCGCAAGAAGGGUGCGAGCUGAUGUUCGACAACUAAAGCUUCCAUUGUUCGCCAAUGAAAGUGAUGAGGGAGAUUGAAACACUGGGGCGAAUGUGGAAGACUCUCCUUCUCCUGGGAAAAAAGAACUGAGUAUCUACACUAUCUGUGUCACUCAGGGGAAAACAGAUGAGAAGUCAUGUGAUGCAACAUUGUGCAAUAUGGAAACUGCAAGGUGUCAGACCACCACCGAGUGGUCUUUACUACAGAGGACAGUAAAAACCACCAAAAGGAUCACUGGGGUCUCCCUGCCCCCAAUUUGAGACAUCUACCGGAAGCCUUGUAUGCAAAGGGCCCAAAAUAUUAUUGAGGGUCCCUACCACCCAUCUCACAAUCUCUUUGACCCACUACCAUCAGGAAGGAGAGCAUAUAAGAUAUCAGCAAAAUACAGUCACACAGAAGAUAGAGUCCAAAUCCCUGAGCUCGUGAAUGUUGCAGAAAUCUGCAUCAGACACAAUAAGGCUUGUCUUCCACCAAGCUACCACAGACUCCAGCUGAAUAUUGCACAGCUGUAAAUCUACCUAGAGCAGGCCGUCCUCAAAACUGAGUACUGUGCAAGAAGGGGACUA